RNAcentral lists this ribosomal RNA (441 nucleotides) under uncultured bacterium. RNAcentral describes it as "partial 16S ribosomal RNA". It matches the Rfam family "Bacterial small subunit ribosomal RNA", at positions 338 to 795 of the family's 1533-position model. The record is from RNAcentral.
CCUACGGGUGGCAGCAGUGGGGAAUAUUGCACAAUGGGGGAAACCCUGAUGCAGCAACGCCGCGUGAGUGAAGAAGUAUUUCGGUAUGUAAAGCUCUAUCAGCAGGGAAGAAGAAAGACGGUGCCGGACGAAGAAGCGCGGGCUAACUACGUGCCAGCAGCCGCGGUAAGACGUAGGGGGCAAGCGUUAUCCGGAUUUACUGGGUGUAAAGGGAGCGUAGACGGCUGUGAAAGUCUGAAGUGAAAGCCCGUGGCUCAACCGCGGACCUGCUUUGGAAACUGUAUAGCUUGAGUACUGGAGAGGCAGGCGGAAUUCCUAGUGUAGCGGUGAACUGCGUCGAUAUUAGGAGGAACACCAGUGGCGAAGGCGGCCUGCUGGACAGCACCUGACGUUGCGGCUCGAAAGCGUGGGGAGCAAACAGGAUUCGCUACCCCGGUAGUC